UACAGAGGGUGCAAGCGUUAAUCGGAAUUACUGGGCGUAAAGCGUGCGCAGACGGUUAUAUAAGUCGGGUGGGAAAGCCCCGGGCUCAACCUGGGAAUUGCAUUCGAGACUGUGUAGCUAGGGUACGGAAGAGGGAAGCGGAAUUUCAGGUGUAGCGGUGAAAUGCGUAGAUAUCUGAAGGAACACCAGUGGCGAAAGCGGCUUCCUGGUCCAGUACCGACGUUCAGGCACGAAAGCGUGGGGAGCAAACAGG
RNAcentral lists this ribosomal RNA (253 nucleotides) under uncultured bacterium. RNAcentral's name for it is "partial 16S ribosomal RNA". It matches the Rfam family "Bacterial small subunit ribosomal RNA", at positions 524 to 776 of the family's 1533-position model. The record is from RNAcentral.